Ceratotherium simum simum (southern white rhinoceros) is the source of this 150-nucleotide non-coding RNA. The record is from RefSeq and is a predicted model, not a curated record. Lineage: Eukaryota; Metazoa; Chordata; Mammalia; Perissodactyla; Rhinocerotidae.
AGUGUUACUGUGCUCCCCAGACUGCAUGUUGAAACCUUAACCCCCAAAUGGGAUGGUAUUAGGAGGUGGGACCUUUGGGAGUUAAUUAGGUUUAGAUGGGGUCAUAAGAGUAGAGUCCCCAUGAUGAGAUUAGCAUCCUUAUAAGAAGAG